CCUCUCUCUCUCUCUCUCUCUCUCUCUCUCUCUCCGCUCCUGCUCUCCGUCUGGAUAAGUCCUCUGACGUCGCCAUCUCUUAUUUGAAUGAGUUUCAAAUCUCAUUUUAUGGCUCGCCAAUCAUUUCAUUUGUUGUUUGUUCGCCGCUUCAGCCCUUCCAAUUUCUUGUGUUACUUCUCAAAAAUUUUAUUAUCCACAAAAUGCGGAGCAGCAAUGGACUCAGCUGGCUUGGGAAGAGCUGCCAGAUUUUCAGAACAAUGCCACCCUCAUCAUCACCGUUAACGCCUCUCUCCUCCUCAGAUACAUCCCAGAUCCCAACACGCCACUAUAUUAUCCUCACAUAUCAAUGUCUGCCAGUGUCUGUUGUGGCUGGCCCUGUCAGAAGCUUAGCAUGUGUGCAAUCAAAUCACUUCCUUCUGUAUCCUGCAGAUUAUGAAAAGCGAUUAAUGAUUACACGCUGCACCAAACUGAAAAAUUUGAAGGAGAUGAAUUGACCUGAGUGAGAGGUUUUACAGUGCUACACAGAUUGAUGCUGAGCAUGACGAUUGGAUAUCCAAGUUGCGUCCCAAAUGAUGCACUAUACACUCUUAGGAAGAAAAGCUGUCACUGGGGUGGCUGUCACAGUUAUGGACUCUUAUUUUGAUGUUCUGUUUUGUUUCUCUUUAGUUCCUGUUUCCCUGCUCUGCUUGGUUUCCUUGGUUUCUGAUUAUGUCCUUGUUUGUUUCUAUGGUUGCUUAUAAUUAUCAACAGUGUCUUAUUUAUUUCAUUGUUAUCUCCUUACUAUUUAAGUCCUGAGUUUGGUUCUGUUCCUCGUCUGGUAUUGUGUUUAUUUAUACAAGCUGUUACGCUGCCUUUGUUUACUCCUGUGAUUCCUGGAUAAUUGUGUUUCAUUUGAUUAAAGGACUAUAGCUAAU
This is a long non-coding RNA of Megalobrama amblycephala (Wuchang bream), 914 nucleotides long. RefSeq lists it as uncharacterized. Lineage: Eukaryota; Metazoa; Chordata; Actinopteri; Cypriniformes; Xenocyprididae. The transcript has 3 exons. The record is from RefSeq and is a predicted model, not a curated record.